Molecule: long non-coding RNA, 573 nt
Organism: Perca fluviatilis (European perch)
Lineage: Eukaryota; Metazoa; Chordata; Actinopteri; Perciformes; Percidae
Exons: 4
Source: RefSeq, a predicted model, not a curated record
AAAUGUCAUCUCUCCCAUACCACACAAACACACACACAAACUUUUAAAUCUUCUUCAUUCAGGUGGCCCAGUGUGUGCACUGCCAGGCCAGUGGAGCUCAAAUCAAGGAGGAGAAGCAUCACACACCAAUCACUUUUGAGGCUCCCAAGAGGAUCCUUACAGACCAGGGGAAGGAUUUUGUAAAUCAGAUCAACACUGAUUCCUUGGGAUAAAAAGAAGCCUUUGUGACCCUUAUCAUCCUCAAACCAAUGGUCUUGUUGAGAAAAUGAAUGGUACCAUACAAAGAGCUCUGAGAAAACUUGUUGGGCAGAGGCCUGACACAUGGGACCAGCAUCUAGAUGCUGUGAUGUUUGGUCUACGGACCAAAAAACAGUCAACCACUAAACUUUCACCAUUCUUUAUGGCCAAGAUGCCAAGAUGUUUGGCAGGGAAGCCAGAUACCCGUCCCAGGUCCCUGAGGAGUAUAUGGUAUUUUUUUGUUGCAAGUGAUUGCUUUGACUUUUUGAAAGAAUUUGUAUUGUAAUUAGUAUUUGAUGUGUAAUACGUUAUGAUAUUGUAUACAAUUUAUUAUUA